This is a long non-coding RNA of Homo sapiens (human), 2490 nucleotides long. RefSeq lists it as uncharacterized. The record is from RefSeq and is a predicted model, not a curated record. NCBI's taxonomy places the organism in Eukaryota, Metazoa, Chordata, Mammalia, Primates, Hominidae. The transcript is spliced from 2 exons.
AAAAAAAAAAAAAAAGACCCUUGUGAUUACAUUGGUCUCACCCAGAUAAUCCAGAAUAUUCUUCUCAAGAUCCUUAACGUAAUCACACCUGGAAAGUUGCUGUUGCCAUGUAAAGUAGUAACAUAUUCACAGAUUUUGGGUAUUAGCAUGUGGACAUCUUUGCUGAGGUAUUAUUUUGCCUACCACAUAGGAUAUGUUAAUCGGUGCUUAAAAAUCCAUUCGAUGCUCAAAUUUUUUAGAAGAAUGAACCUAUGUAUUUUUAAAAAUCCAAGUAAAUGACCAGCUUCAGUGUUCUGCCUUAUGUUUUGAUGAGGGGAAUAAAACAGUGAGGGAAUGAUUGGGAUAGUGAAGGAUUAUUUGCCACCAGAGAAUGCUGAAGUUUUUGGGACAAUGUUUGCAAGCCCCCUUCUAACUCACCUCCAUUUGCUAUAUCUCUUCGUGCCUAAUGGGGGAUUUUACCAGUGUGAAUAUGCACUGUUGAAUUUUUGGUCCUGCUUUUCAAAUGCUGUCAGUGACAAACUUCAGUUGUAGUGGGAAAUUUAAUAGGAAACAGUGAGCCAUCUCAUCCCUCAUGCAACCAGUCAUUUAAAAAUCAACUAGGAAAAGUCUUUCAGUGUGGUAGGGAGGUAGGGUGGUAUAAUUGCAAGAGUGGAGGCAUACAGACUUGAAGUCAAAUCCUGUUUCCAACACAGACUAGCUAUGUGACUUUGGUAAACACAUAAUUUCCUGAGAUUCAGUCUUUUCAUCUGUGUAGUAGGCAUAAUAAUAACUGAGGUGAGUUACAUAAAGUAUAUGACAAUCUGGUGAACACAGGGCAUUUUUAUGUCACAUUUUCACCCAUUUAGCAUUGACUCUAUGGAGGUUUUGACCCUUUGUUUUAAUCUAAAAGAUUUUUUAAAAUAUCAGAAUUAUACGAACAUUGAUGACUUUUUUCCAAGAGUAUUUUUCUGGAGAUAAUUUCGUUAAGUCAGUUAAUUUUGUUAAUUUAAAUAGUAUGGCUCAUCAUUCAAUAAAUAGUAAACAUCUACUAUGUGCUAUGUAUUUUUUUCUUAGAAGAUAUCUGUAAAUAAAGACAAUAUUCCUGCCUUUGUUGAGUCUUAUUUUUUGGCAAGGAGAGACAGAUAGUAAACAUAAAAAAUAAGUAGAUUCUAUAACAAGAGGUAUUAAGUGCUAUGGAAAAAAGAAAACACACCAGAGAGGUGAGGGUGCAGAUUGCAGUAUAAAUAGCAUACUUAGGAAACAAAUCAUCUGGAGGUGAGAUUUGAACCAAGACCUGAAGGAAGUGAAUGGACUCAUCCAAGGGGAUAUUUGGGGAAAGAAUAUGCUUGGCAGAGGAAUUAGCUGGUGCAAAGGCCCCACAGUGGGGCAUGUCUGCUAUGUCAGAGGAGCGUCAAAAGGAUGAGUAUGGCUCAAGAGAAUGGAGUGAUGGGGAGAGUAAUGGGAGAGGAGGUCAGAGAGGGGCCAGAUUGCCUGGACCUGGGAGGCUUUGGGAAGGGCACUCCAAAGUGCAAUAGGAAGCUAUUAUAGGGCCUUGUGCAGAGCAAUGACCCAAUCUGACUGAAGUUUCAUAAAUUCUUUGUUCAGACUAGAUGGUAGGAAGGCAAGGAUAAAGGUUGGGGCUCCUGUGGUCAGCAACGUGGGAGGAUGAUGGCUCAAACAGGGCAGGAGCAGUGAAGCUAGUGAGAAUGGUCAGAUUUGCGAUACAUUUAAAGGUAAGACCCUGAGGAUUUCCUCAUGCGUAGGAUGUAGGGUAUGAGGGAAUUGAGAGUAGCUAAAGCUAACCCCAAAGUUUUUAUCCUGAGGAACUGAAGAGUGUAGUUACAAUCAACUAAGAUAGGGAAGGCUUAGUGGGAUUGGGGUGGUAAUGGUGGAGAAAGAUGACCGGAAGUCCAGUUUAAGAUGUGUUAAGUUUGAAACGCCUAUUAGAACUCCGUGGUUGAUGUUGAGUAGGAAGCUGGAUAUCCAACUGAUUUUGGGAGAGAGUUCUGGACUAAAAAUAGAAAUUUGGGACUUGUUGGCAUCUAGAUGCUAUUUGAAACAAUGGGACUGGGUACAAUCACCAAUGGAGGAAGACAGGAAAUAGAAGUCCAGGGACUGAACCCUAGGGGAUUUCCACCUAAGAAGUCAGGGAGAGGACAAGCCAACAAAGGAGACUGAGAGGCGUGACCGUCAAGGUGGAGGAAAGCCAAGAGCAUGGUGCCUGGAGUGGAAGCCAGGAGAAGGAGGUGUCUUACUGAGGCGAGAGUGAUCAACUUUCCAAUAAUCGUUAAUAGGCCUGAAAAUGAAAUCCCAAGACUUUAAACAUUUAUGAGCAUGAGGAGGAAGCAUCACAGAAGAAUUGUCUCAAAACAACAUUUUUAGAUUAGAUUAGAGAUGCAAUAUUCAUAGAUAUAUAAAAUAUGUAGAAAUGUCUUUUCUAAAUAGUUAAAUGUUUGUUACAGUUUGUAAAAAGUUUAAUAAAUUAAUCAGUUUUUUUUCAACCAAUGUAAA